This 206-nucleotide long non-coding RNA is filed under the name Micromonas commoda. RNAcentral describes it as "long non-coding RNA (MCOM_LNC000445)". The record is from RNAcentral. Lineage: Eukaryota; Viridiplantae; Chlorophyta; Mamiellophyceae; Mamiellales; Mamiellaceae.
UCGGAAAGCGCGCCGCUCUCGCGAGCGUCGUCAGCGCGCGGGUUCGGUAAUAGCAACUCACGCGCGAGACCGCGUGCCUAGGUUCGAGGCCAGGUGGGCAUCUGCGAUCAUCGCGGCAAACUCGACGGCAGCCGCGCUUAGAUCUCCGGAGCCCGUGAGAAUCGCACGUGGACGGCAACCCGAGUGAUCUCCAAAGCGGCGCCGUG